Molecule: long non-coding RNA, 970 nt
Filed under: Pan troglodytes (chimpanzee)
Lineage: Eukaryota; Metazoa; Chordata; Mammalia; Primates; Hominidae
Description: long non-coding RNA NONPTRT008568
Source: RNAcentral
GGGAACGUUCAGGAGAAAACGCUCCAGCAACUCCCAGCCGACCCCGCCCCUCCCCGACCUACCAUAGACGCCGUCCUCCAUGGCGGCUAGGAAGGCCCGCGGGGAGUCCGGGGCGGUCCCGCCAGUCGGGCCUGGAUCCGCGUUGGCCCGCGGGCUCGGGUGAGCCCGCUCAAACGCCCCGGGAGCCACCGCCGCCUCCUCAGCGCCAGUCCUCAGCGCUGAAAAGACUCUCCCUUCGUCGCCCAACCGCCCCUUCAGUAGGGACCGCCCCUCUUUUUGACACUGUCCAAUCCACAGUGGGCGCUUUCGUCCUCCCCGCCCUCGCCACCAAAGGAUCGUUCUCCAGGGCCAACAGCCGUACAAAAAGCGGGUGUAGACACCCGAGUUCAGAGCCAGCCUCCAAGAGUAUCUUACAUCCCAGCGUCUCCUGGAAGGCCGUAUGAUCCAGCACUGGGGAGAGGAGGGAAAUCCCCAGGACUCGAAUGCCCAUCCCACCCUCGGUGUAGUGAGGACUCAUCCUGCUGGAAAGGCCCCUGAAGAACUUCAAGUUCCAAUGUCCCGUUUUUACAGAUGGGGAAACUGACAUGAAGAGGAGUCCAAAGUGACACAGUCAGGCCAGAAAUGUUGCUUCUGAAGUCCUGAGUCCACCUCCUAGCACUGCCAAGCAGUCCACCUGGAGGUGAUGAGAACUUCCAGGCUUUGGUAAUGGACAACUCUGUAUCCCUGGAGCCUUCAUUCCUUUUGGCAUUACAGAACCACAAGAAGUCAUCUAGAAUCAUUGAGAUUCUCAACUCCAUUGGGCAAACUGGAACCAGCAAAAUCUCAGAUAUCUAGAAUUGCCACUGCUUCCUUGACUCUGUGAUCAGUCUACAGCCACAGAAUCCUGAUUCCCUUUGGACAUUCUAGAAUGGCACUUAAAAAAAAAAUAACAACCCACCCAGUGGAUCCUUUCAAAGCAUUGCUUAUUCUC